Molecule: ribosomal RNA, 440 nt
Filed under: uncultured bacterium
Lineage: Bacteria
Description: partial 16S ribosomal RNA
Rfam family: Bacterial small subunit ribosomal RNA
Source: RNAcentral
CCUACGGGAGGCAGCAGUGGGGCAUAUUGCACAAUGGGGGAAACCCUGAUGCAGCGACGCCGCGUGAGUGAAGAAGCAUUUCGGUAUGUAAAGCUCUAUCAGCAGGGAAGAAAAUGACGGUACCUGAUCAAGAAGCCCCGGCUAACUACGUGCCAGCAGCCGCGGUAAUACGUAGGGGGCAAGCGUUAUCCGGAUUUACUGGGUGUAAAGGGGGCGCAGACGGCAGCACAAGCCCGGAGUGAAAGGCCGGGGCUUAACCCCGGGACUGCUUUGGAAACUGUACAGCUAGAGUGCAGGAGAGGUAAGUGGAAUUCGUAGUGUAGCGGUGAAAUGCGUAGAUAGUAGGAGGAACACCAGUGGCGAAGGCGGCUUACUGGACUGUAACUGACGUUGAGGCUCGAAAGCGUGGGGAGCAAACAGGAUUAGAUACCCGUGUAGUC